This 520-nucleotide ribosomal RNA is filed under the name uncultured Glomus. RNAcentral's name for it is "SSU rRNA". It matches the Rfam family "Eukaryotic small subunit ribosomal RNA", at positions 569 to 1091 of the family's 1831-position model. Lineage: Eukaryota; Fungi; Glomeromycota; Glomeromycetes; Glomerales; Glomeraceae. The record is from RNAcentral.
AGCAGCCGCGGUAAUUCCAGCUCCAAUAGCGUAUAUUAAAGUUGCUGCAGUUAAAAAGCUCGUAGUUGAAUUUCGGGACUAAUAUGUCGGUCGUGCCUCGGUACGUACUGGCUUAUUGGUUUCUCCUUUCUGAAGAACCAUGAUGUCAUUUAUUUGGUGUCGUGGGGAAUCAGGACUGUUACUUUGAAAAAAUUUAGAGUGUUUAAAGCAAGCUAACGCUUGAAUACAUUAGCAUGGAAUAAUGAAAUAGGACGUUCGAUCCUAUUUUGUUGGUUUCUAGGAUUGACGUAAUGAUUAAUAGGGAUAGUUGGGGGCAUUAGUAUUCAAUUGUCAGAGGUGAAAUUCUUGGAUUUAUUGAAGACUAACUACUGCGAAAGCAUUUGCCAAGGAUGUUUUCAUUAAUCAAGAACGAAAGUUAGGGGAUCGAAGACGAUCAGAUACCGUCGUAGUCUUAACCAUAAACUAUGCCGACUAGGGAUCGGAUGAUGUUAAUUUUUUAAUGACUCACUCGGCGCCUUAC